CCUAGUCAGCCUAAAUACAUUAAAGUCAUCAGAUUCUACCUGAUCUUGGAAGCUAAGCAGUAUAAACUCUGGUUAGUACUUGGAUGGGAGGCCACCAAUGAAUACCAGGUGCUGCAGGUU
Non-coding RNA from Anolis carolinensis (green anole), 120 nucleotides. Lineage: Eukaryota; Metazoa; Chordata; Lepidosauria; Squamata; Anolidae. The record is from Rfam.